This is a long non-coding RNA of Rosa rugosa (rugosa rose), 488 nucleotides long. RefSeq lists it as uncharacterized. The record is from RefSeq and is a predicted model, not a curated record. NCBI's taxonomy places the organism in Eukaryota, Viridiplantae, Streptophyta, Magnoliopsida, Rosales, Rosaceae. The transcript has 3 exons.
UUUUUUUCCUCUCGCACUCUGAAGAUGAAAAGACGUCAAAGAGAGAAGAAGAUCUGACCUGAGAAGACAAACUGACCUGGAGCUGACCUCAACCUGUGAAUCUGCUGGAAAUCAUCACUUGUUAAAAAGGAGAACCAUCAGUUUCUUUUGUCUUUGGGGAGCUAUAACCCUUGGUCUUUGGAACUUAAUUUGAGAUAGAAAAACUCAAUGGAGUUGGAAAUUGGAAGAAGGACAAGGCGUGCGGAUGUUUUUAUCUUGCAAUAACUUUGUGCUAGUUGCUCUCAAGUUCCUUCCACACAAGUGGCCUAUAGAAGCAAAUAUAUGUGCAUAGCUUGUUAGGAGCCACAAAAGAAAAUAAUGUAUUGUUGUUUUCUCUCUGUGCCAACUUCAGACACUGAUCCACACCUUAUGAAUUAUGAGUAAAAAUGUGUAUAUCACAUGCUUGUCAAUGAAAAUUUGUGGAAUGUUUCUUAUGAUUUUUACAGUAA